RNAcentral lists this long non-coding RNA (7413 nucleotides) under Homo sapiens (human). Its description in RNAcentral is "HSALNT0408914". Lineage: Eukaryota; Metazoa; Chordata; Mammalia; Primates; Hominidae. The record is from RNAcentral.
GACAGCCUCAGAGCUGGUGGGGAGACAGCAUGCCACUGGAAAAAUUCGUAGACAUGGAAUUCCUGGAUCAAAUGAUACUAAGGGGGACUUGCCUGGAAGCAGACUUGUGUCCGCAGUAUACAAACUCACCCUUUAAUGCACACACUGACCAGAUAACACAAACACAUUUACCCCCACAGCACCUAGACUCUUCUCACAGUACACACACUUGCCUUCCAGUACACAGACAUAUCCAAAGGCACACCGACAAGCACCACAGCAAAAAGAUGUUCCCCAGAACACAUGGACACCCCAAUCCCCGUAUCAUUAGACUCUCCCAGAGGCACGUAUGUACUGCUUAAUGCAGAGACUCACCUGAGGCACACUGAUGCACCCCGCAUGACACAGACUUGCCCCCCCAUAAGGACUCUACUAUGACACACAGACAAUCCCAACAUCACACACUGUUCCCACAUCACACGAACCCAUUUUAGGAAACACACAGCAUACAGACUUACCCCAUAGAACACGGCUUCCCCGACAAGCACACAUACUCUCAAGGCCAGUAGACUCACCCCACAGCACACAGACUUUCUCUAGAGUGUACAGCUUCUUCCCACAGCAAACAGACUCUCCCCAGGGCACACAGACACCCCUGACAUCACAUACUCUCACCACAGACCAUAGACUCGUCCUAGAGCACAGGGACUCUUGCCAAUGAAACAGACUUUCCCGAGAAUAGACUCAUGAGACAGCUUGAAGACCCGCAUCAUGACACAAAGACUCUCCCACAACAGACAGACUCACCCCAUUGUGUACAGACAAGCACCAUAGGCCACAGACCAUCACCUCAGGACACAGACUUGCCCAGCACCACACAGACACUCUGCAGAGCACGUAGAGUCACCCCGCAAAGCACAGACUAAACCCAUACUACAGAGACUCUCCCUAUAGCUUUCAGACAAGUUUACCCCACCACAGAGACAUGCAACGGUACAUCUUACAACAUAUAUCACUCCUUGAUGCACACAAUUGUGCCACAGCACACAAACUUGUCCUACAGUGCACAAAUUCAUGUCACAAAAGACACACUCACCACACAAUACAAAUACUUGCUCCAGCCGGACGCGGUGGCUCACGCCUGUUAUCCCAGCACUUUGGGAGGCCUAGGCAGGUGGAUCACCUGACGUUGGGAGUUCGAGACCAGUCUCACCAACAUGGAGAAACCCCGUCUCCACUAAAAAUACAAAAUUAGCCGGGCAUGGUGGUGCAUGCCUGUAAUCUCAGCUGCUCCGGAGGCUGAGGCAGGAGAAUCGCUUGAACCCAAGAGGCGGAGGUUGCAGUGAGCCAAGAUUGUGCCACUGCACUCCAGCCUGGGCAACAAGGGCAAAACUUUGCCUCAAAAAAAAUAAAAAAAUAAAAAAAAAAACAACCCAGCAACAAAAACAAACAAAAAAAAACAAUUACUUGCUCCAGAGUUCACUCAUUUGCCCUAAAAUAUCUAGACCUUACCCCAGAGUUACCACACAAUGCAUGCUGUGUCCCUGCAUCACCAAAAUACAACUCAAACUCCUCAGACACACUCUGAUAAAUAGACAUACCUGACAAUGUACAGCUUGGCAUCAUAGCAGGAAAAACUGGCUCUACAACAGAUUUAUUCUACAACAGACACACUCAGGCUGUAGAGACACCUAAUCUUUCUUUAAGGUAUUCAGACCCACCCUUUUGGGCACAGUCACAGAUGUGAUCCAGGAUACCCUCACCCAUCCCACAAUACUGAUGCAACCCACAGCGUACAAACACAUCCCACAGCAUAACACUCUAAGCCCACAGUGCUCAGAAAUGUCAGGCACACAUUUGCCAUACAGAUUUACUUCACACACAAAAAACACAGCCAGGUGGGUGGCUCAUGCCUGUAAUCCCAGCACUUUGGGAGUCCGAGGCGGGCGGAUCACAAGGUCAGGGGUUCAGGACCAGCCUGUCCAACAUGGUGAAACCCCGUCUCUACUAAAAAUACAAAAAAAUUAGCCGGGCAUGGUGGCACAUGCUUGUAGUCCCAGCUACUCGGGAGGCUGAGGCAGGAGAAUCACUUGAACCCAGGAGGUGGAGGUUGCAGUGAGCCGAGAUCAUGCCAUUGCACUCCACCUUGGGCAACAGAGUGAGACUUCGUCUAAAAAAAAAAGAAAGAAAGAAAGAAACAAACAAGAAAACAACAACAAAAAACACUUCUUAUAGUGCCUAUACAAUGCAAACAUGUAUCCCAAAAUAUAUGAAACUAUUUGCUAUGUCACUCUUAGGUUUACCCCAAAGCACAUAGACCGUUUUCACUGCUCAAGCUGCUGCCUACAAAACAGGAGAUGCCAAGCCAUGCACAGAAAUUCACCAAAAUGCACAGAUUCACCUAUCAAUAUACAUACUUGCCUCACAACUCACACAAACACCACCGAGCACUGAGACUCACCCUAAAUGUACAGACAAGCCCUUCAGGGCACAGACUUACUCUGUAACAUACUAAAUCACAUCCCCCAUACUUAGAUGUGCCUUAUGAUUCACAGUGAUGCGUGUAAACACAUAGAUUGCUUCCACAAUGCACAGAAUUGCAUCAUAACACAGACUUACUCUACAGUGCAAAACUGACAGUGCACAUAAACAUUUCCCAGUCGGCUAGACACACAACACACAUAUUACUCCUACAAUGUAAAGAUUUCCAUCACGGUGGACAGACGUGCUUUUCCAUGCUGUUGAGCUACAACUCUGGCCUACAACAACAGAAAUACAGCUUGUGUAAUAGUUACCAGCAAGGCCUCUAGACCCAUACUAACUGGGUUUGAAUCAAGGUCCCGUCCCUUGCUGAUUGUAUCACCUUGGGAGGAGAUGGAAGAUUGAGAGCAGAGUGCAAGAAUGGGAAGAGGGCUUCGUGCCCUGUGCACGUUUGCCACCUAGUGACCAAACUGAGCUGGAGUGCAAUGGCGCAAUCUCGGCUCACUGCAACCUCUGCCUUCCGGGUUCAAGCGAUUCUCCUGCCUCAGCCUCCCAAGUAGCUGGGAUUGCAUGCAUGUGCCACCACGCCCAACUAAUUUUUGUAUAUUUAGCAGAGACGGGGUUUUCCAUGUUUGUCAGGCUGGUCUCGAUCUCCCAACCUCAGAUGAUCUGCCUGCCUUGGCCUCCCAAAGUGCUGGGAUUACAGGCAUGAGUCACCACGCCCAGCCUUUAAUUUAUUAUAUUCUAUAAAUAUAAGAACUUGAGGCUACAGAUUUGAAUUAACAAUUUUAUAGGAAAUAUUCAUAAUUUAUUUGGCAAAGGCAGUAUUCAUAUAAAAAUAAUCAACAAAAUCAGAUUUACUUUCAGAAAAAGUGUCUGACUUCAUUUUUCAAGGAAAAAAUAUUAAUAUACGUUUUGAGGUGCAUUAUUAAAACCAUGGAUAAAUCAAUUAUGGAGCACCUUGUUAAAUAACUAGCAAAGUAAAUAUCAUAUUAAAAUAAAUAUGAGGCUUUUAUCCACUUCAAAAUAAAUUAAGAAAUUAAAUAAUAACUUUGUUUCUGAUAUAUAAUUUUAAAUUAAACAAUGUAGUAUGUGGUUACCAUUAUAAGUCAUACAUGAAACAAGGAAUCUGAAGGUAGGCAGAAUUUCUCAUGUAAAUAUGUAUGUAUGUGUUUUUAGAACAUUGGAGUUGAAUUUCUUGGAAUAAUUGACUAAGAAUAGCAUAUACAUUUUUUUUUCAAAUCCAUAAACUUCAUUAGACCAUAGAAUUAAAGUUUUCUUUUUCUUUUCUUCUUCUUCUUUUUUUUUUUUUUUUUUUGAGACAGAGACUCGUUCUGUUGCCAGCCUGGAGUGCAGUGAGUUGAUCUCGGCUCACUGCAACCUCCCCCUCCCAGGUUCAAGCUAUUCUCCUGCCUCAGCCUCCCGAGUAGCUGGGAUUACAGGUGCCCUCCAUCACGCCCAGCUAAUUUUUGUAUGUUUAGUAGAGACGGUGUUUCACCAUGUUGGCCAGGAUGGUCUCGAUCUCCUGACCUCGUGAUCCGCCCAUCUAGGCCUCCCAAAGUGCUGGCAUUAUAGGCAUGAGCCACUGUACUCGGCCUAGUAUCAAACUUUUUAACGAUAUUUUAUGAAAGAGUCUAAAAAAUACUUGCUAAAUAUAAAACUAGCAUAUCAUUUUAUUUUUGAUAAUAGGAGGUAGAAAGUAUAAAGGUUAUUUAUAAAAUGAAAUGAAGAUUGAUGCUUUUUUCUUUUUUCUUUUUCUUUUCUUUUUUUUUUUUUUCUGGAGUCAGAGUCUCACUCUUUUGCCCAGGCUGGAGUGCAGUGGUGCAAUCUCGGCUCAUUGCACCCUCUGCCUCCCGGAUUCAAGUGAGUCUCGUGCCUCAGCCUCCCGAGUAGCUGUGAUUAUAGGUGCGAGCCGCGACACCUGGUUAAUUUUUGUCUUUUUAAUAGAGGCAGGGUUUCACCAUGUUGCCCAGGCUGGUCUCGAGCUCCUAGACUCAAGCAAUCCAUUUGCCUCGGCCUCCCAAAGUGCUGGCAUUACAAGCUUUAGCCACCGCAGUCGGCUGAGGAUUGAUUUUAAUUGGAAAAGAUAUUUUACGAUACAGUCUGAGAAAACAGGUUCUAACAAGUUUAAUACAAUGAUCACAUAAUUUCUGAAAUAAAUUACAUAAUUUCUUAUUUAAUUUUUAACUUUUUAAAUAAUUUUGAUACAUUUGUACAUACUUAUGAGGUACAUGUGAAAUUUUGUUACAUGCCUAGAAUUUGUAAUGAUCAGGUCAAGGUAUUUAGGGUAGCUAUCACCUGAGUAUUUAUCAUUUCUCUGUGUUAGGUACAUUUCAGCUCCUCUCGUCUAGCCAUUCUGAAAAACACAAUGCAUUGUUGUUACCUAUAGUCACCUUACUAUGCUAUCCAACACUAGAACUUAUUCCUUCUAUUUAACUGUGUGUUCGUAUCAAUUAAUAAGCCUCUCUUCAUCCCUCCCCUCCUGCCUAUACAGCCUUCCCAGUCUCUGGUGUCUAUUAUUCUACUCUCUACCUCCAUGAGAUCAACUUUUUUAGCUCCCACAUAUGAGUGAGAAUAUGUACUGUUUGUCUUUUUGUGCCUGGUUUAUUUUACUUAAGAUAAUGACUUCCAGUUCCAUCCAUGUUGCUGCAAAUGAUAGGAUUUCAUUCCUUUUUAUGACCCAGUAGUAUUCCAUGGUUUAUAUGUACCACGUUUUCUUUAUCCAUUCAUCUGUGGAUGGACACUUAGGUUGAUUCCAUAUCUUUGCUAUUGUGAAUAGUGCUGCAAUAAACAUGGGAGUGCAUGUAUCUCUUUGAUAUAUUAAUUUCUAUUCCUUUAGGUAAAUACCCAGUGGUGGUAUUGCCCAUUUCUAUACAUAAGUUUUACCAAAGUCUAAAUAUUUUUUAGUACUAGAAUACAGUCCAAUUGUGUUGAAAAGAAUCAGUGUCAGCAAUAUAUACUGCAACUAGUUAGGAGAUGCUCUUUUUUUUCCCAGUUGAUGACACACGUUUGUGAUUAAUGUUGAGAAUAGAUGGAAAAUAAUGCUUAAUUUUAAGCAUGUGGGAAAAAAUGGUGUUCUUAGGUAGAUUCAUUUUAAGAGAGAAUACACGUAAGAGUUGAGCACCUGAAAGUGGAUUCAUUGAUACUGUUCCUACUCACAUACUUCUUGAAAAGAAUUUGUGUAACAGUAGCCUAGUGUGAAGACCACCGUUCUAGUCUGUCUCCUGCAAGAUUGUUCCAGAACAAUAUAUUGUUGUAAUUGUUGGAAUAACCCAUUUAUUGUAGUUUAUGUUCACAACCAUGCAAUGGAAGUAGUUGUCACUUUUGAAUUUCUGCCAGAUGCUUCUGUGAGUGAUCAUGUUUGAGCAAAAUGUCCUGGAAGGGAUGUUUUUGUUUUGUUGAUAAAUACAUAUUUUGACUAAACUUGUUUUGUCCAGUUUGGGAGCCACAAUCACAUGUGGCUAUUUAACAUUUAAAAUGUGGCUAGUACAAACAGAUAUGCUGUAAGUAUAGAAUACAUACUGGAUUUCAAGGACAGGACACAUAAAGUAUUUCACUAAUAUUUUAUGUUAAUUACAUGUUGAAAUAAUAUUUUGAUGAUAUAGAAUUAAAUAGUACAUUUCACUAAAAUUAAUUUUACCUGAUUUUUAGACUUUUAAAAAAUGUUGCAACAAGAAAAUUUAAAAUUACUUGUGAAGCUCACAUUGUAUAUAUUAUAUGACAGUGCUGGUCUAAAGUUUAUAUUGGAAAUCUCUCUAAGUUUCCCUAAAACCACUUCUAUGGAAAAAAUUGAUUUUCCACUAAUCUGGUUCAGUAUACUGCUAUUCUGAUGUAACGUGUGCCUUUUACUAGUUUUUGGGUUUCCAUAUUGGGGGAUUUUUAGUAGUAAGCAAGAAAAAGUUUAAAAAGUAAUAUUCCAGUAAGAAUAUUGGAAAAAACAUCUAUUAGUACCUAGACGCUUUCCCAUAUGAACUUUGAAAGGCUUCUUGGUGGUUACAUGUGAAGCUUUUCAGACUCUUCAUAAUUCCAGUGGUGGAUAAUGCAUUCUAUUGAAGACAUGAAGUAUUUAAUCACAUCUGAUUUCUUUUUUUUUCUUUUUGAGAUGGAGUUUCGCUCUUGUUGCCCAGGCUGGAGUGCAAUGGUAUGAUCUUGGAUCACAGCAACUUCCGCCUCCCGGGUUCAAGCGAUUCUCCUGCCUCAGUCUCCCUAGUAGCUGGGAUUACAGGCAUGCACCACCACGCCCGGCUAAUUUUUUGGAUUUUUAGUAGAGAUGGGGUUUCUCCAUGUUGGUCAGGCUAGUCUCGAAUUCCUGACCUCAGGUGAUCUGCCUGCCUUGGCCUCCCAAAGUGCUGGGAUCACAGCCGUAAGCCGCCACCCCCAUCCACAUGUGAAACUUUUUUAUGUAAUUAUUUUUAUGUAACAUUAAGAGAAAAAUACACUUCCAGAUAAACUAUGAUGUAAUGCUUUCAUAUUCAUAGAAUUUUAAUUUUAUACUUACUAAUGAGCUCUUUUAGACUUAUUUAGAUAUAUAUUUUUAUUAUGUAUCAUGAUAUAACAACAGCCGUGACCAAAUUUGAGCAUAAACAGACAAUGUCUACCCCUAUUCAACCACCUUCUGGCCCACAGUGACUGUAAAAUUCCAUUGAUUAUAAGAUCCAUUCUGAUUUCAGUAAUAUGAAGUGUGAUUAAAAAAAAAUAUGCAUCCUAGAAUUGAUUAAAUACACCAAGUCAUUUAUCAAGAGAAAAGGAUCAUGGAGGGCAGAAAGUCAAACUGGAAGACAUUGGCCUAAUGAAAACACCUUUUCUAUAUAUUAUCGUAUUUACAAAACUUAAAAUGUGAUUCUCUUUAAAAUUUUAUCAGAGUCCUCUUAAAUAACAUUUCAUUAUACAUCUCCUCAUAAUUGGUAUUUCAUGGUUUUCCUGGCAUUCUGUUCUUUGUUUCCUGGUUUGGAA